This 374-nucleotide ribosomal RNA is filed under the name Ixodes ricinus (castor bean tick). RNAcentral describes it as "partial large subunit ribosomal RNA". The record is from RNAcentral. Lineage: Eukaryota; Metazoa; Arthropoda; Arachnida; Ixodida; Ixodidae.
GGUAUUUUGACUAUACGAAGGUAUUGAAAUAAGAUUUUAAAUGAGUGCUAAGAGAAUGAUUAAACAAUUAAAAGCUUUCUUUAAUUGAAUAAUUGAAUUUAAUUUUUUAGUGCAAAAGCAAAAAUAAAAAUUAGGGACAAGAAGACCCUAUGAAUUUUUAUUAAAUUUUAUAAAACUUUAUAUAAAAUUUAAUUUAAUUGGGGUGAUGGAAAAAGAAUAAAUAUCUUUUUUUUUAAAAAAAAUUGGUUCCGUUUUUAGCGAUUAAAUGAAAAAAAUACUCUAGGGAUAACAGCGUAAUAAUUUUGGAUAGUUCAUAUAGAUAAAAUAGUUUGCGACCUCGAUGUUGGAUUAGGAUUCUUUUUUGGUGAAGAAGU